CCCCUCUUAGGAUAGCAUCUGGAGAGUUUCCAGUACUCUACCAGUGACAGCUACAGGAGGGAGAAUCAAGCAAAGCAUACCCAUUCCAAUCCUAGUUAGGGCAGUGGCUAGCCAUUGGAAAGCAAUCUGCUACAAGU
This is a small nucleolar RNA of Tachyglossus aculeatus (Australian echidna), 137 nucleotides long. NCBI's taxonomy places the organism in Eukaryota, Metazoa, Chordata, Mammalia, Monotremata, Tachyglossidae. The record is from RefSeq and is a predicted model, not a curated record.